GUCCGGAGACAGCGGGGAAAGAGAAGUAAGGGAGCGCGAGGUGGGGGGAGAGGGGCCCGUAGGCGAAAGCGGCCGAGCCAACAGCGUCGUCGGCCCGCAGAGAUGGGCCGGUCCCGGAGUCGGAGCUCGUCCCGCUCCAAGCACACCAAGAGCAGUAAGCACAACAAAAAACGGAGCCGGUCGAGGUCGCGGUCCCGGGAUAAGGAGCGGGUUCGCAAACGCUCCAAGUCCCGGGAGAGCAAGAGGAACCGGCGCCGGGAGUCGCGCUCUCGCUCGCGCUCCACCAACGCGGCCGUGUCCCGCCGCGAGCGGGAGCGCGAGCGCGCCUCGUCCCCCCCGGACCGCAUCGACAUCUUCGGGCGCACGGUGAGCAAGCGGAGCAGCCUGGACGAGAAGCAGAAACGCGAGGAGGAGGAGAAGAAGGCAGAGUUCGAGCGGCAGCGAAAGAUUCGACAGCAGGAAAUAGAAGAAAAACUCAUUGAGGAAGAAACAGCGAGAAGAGUGGAAGAACUUGUGGCAAAACGAGUGGAGGAAGAAUUGGAGAAAAGGAAGGAUGAAAUUGAGCGCGAAGUUCUCCGAAGGGUAGAAGAAGCUAAGCGCAUCAUGGAAAAGCAGUUGCUCGAAGAACUCGAGCGACAGAGACAAGCUGAGCUUGCAGCACAAAAAGCUAGAGAGGUAACGCUCGGUCGUUUGGAAAGUAGAGACAGUCCAUGGCAAAACUUUCAGUGUUGGGUUGUGCCUCCUGCUCAGUUCAGAAAGAGAUGGAAUACAGACUAUCUAAUUCCUUUCUCAUAUAAACUUGCAUUGCUGCGGAAGUUAAUUUUUAGCCUAUUCAGAAGAGCUGACUGAUGCUUUAAACAGUUAUUCUCCUAAAACCUAUUCAAGGAUACUUGAUUUUAAUGGAACUGGCCUACAUAUUUGAGAAGUGUUUGAAACUUUUGCCAUGGCUGCAGGACCUACAACCAAUCCUUUCUUUUUUUUCGGGGCGGGGGAAGAGGAGGGUUGGAGACUUGGUAAAGGGAAAAGGUUAAACUCCACCUGUGGUUAUGCAUUCUUCUUUUCUGUUUUAUCAUUCUAUUUACCUAGACUGUGAGAGGCUUCUUGCCUUCAGUCAGUUUAAAAAGAGCAGGGCCCAGCUUUGAGCGAGAGCACCUGCUUUUGACAAAUAGGUUUUCUUAUUCUUCUUUUUUUCCCUUUAAAAAAAAACAAACUUCAAAUCUUGCCUCAACACAAUGGAUUAAUUCUUGGCAUUCUGAUCCUUAAGGCCCUCCACUAUCCUAAUGUGUUUCAAAGAAUCUUUUUAGGAAAAAUGUCCAGAUUAUUAUCCAUUUUUUUAGUAUCUACUAACAACUCCUUUUUUCUCUAGAGAGUUAUGAAGGAACAGGUUGUCCUUGUCUGGAGUCAAGCUAAACACAUGAUUUGUUUUAUCAGCAGCUGGAGCAGAAGUUGAAAAUGUCUUUCUGUGAGACAGUAAUUUGCUACUUAAGUCUCUAUGGCUUGUUUGCACCAAUUACUCCAGAUUUCUAAAACUUCUAAAAAGUCACUGAGACUUUUGAGGCAAAACUAUAGCACUGAGUGAUACUCCACUUAUGUUGGCAGAAAUGAAAAUGACUCUUUACUACAGAGAACUCUGUAGUGGUUUGUUCUUAAAUUUCUGUGGCUAAUAGUCACUCUUAAUCUUGAUGUUUUCUGGUUAUACACAAUAGAAUACCAAAUCCUAUUUGCUUUUAACUUAAAAGCUAUUUUAAGUUUUCUCAUGUUAACUUUGCCAAGAUCAACACACAGUUCUCUGCUUACAGUGGAUUUCAGUUAAUUCCAUAGGUCUUAUGUGCGUAAAAUUUGUUAAAUGUGGUAUAUAUCAGUGCUUUUAAUAAGAUGUUGUUUUUGGAGUAAUAGUGCUGUCUUGUAGCGAGUUACCAAUCAUAGUAAGAUUUUUUUUCUCUUCAUGUGCUUGCUUUGUUUCAUAUUAACAAUUUUUUUUCACACGGACACAAUCCUCUGACAGUCUUUCCAAAUACUAAAAUCAUGUAUGCUGUAAACUGAACACUGCCCAAACCAUCAUGCAGUAUUCAUAUAGUUUGCAUAACAAAAUUUCAUUAAAUUCUCCAAGAAAAAUAAAUUACAGAACUUUAUUUCCUGACCAUGCCUCCCCUGGAUUCCUGAAUUCCAGUUCAAACUGUAGAUGACAAUUUAAGCUGCCUUAAGAAAUUGUCAACAUACUGAAUGUUAAGUCCAUUUUCCCCAUGGAAGAAGCCCUUAGUUCCAUGAAGUAUGGAUUACCAUUUGUAUUUUUCACUAACAGUAAAUGUAUUUUUCUUAUUAAUUGUUUGCCUUAGGAAUGAUGAAUUACAUUUUUUGUUCCUUCUUACCAUAAACAUCUGCAUUCCUCAGCUCAGCCUUCCUUGUAUGUUGUUUCUUUAUAAAUGGUUGAGCUGCUGAUGCAGGUAUUGCCAAGCUAACAGUACAAAUCAUUUUAAAGAGGAAGCUGGCGCGUAUGGCAGCCGAGGAGCACACUCUGCAGGACACUGGACAAGACAGAGGAAGAGCGUGCAAAACGUGAGGAACUGGAGCGAAUACUG
Molecule: RNA transcript, 2579 nt
Organism: Vombatus ursinus (common wombat)
Lineage: Eukaryota; Metazoa; Chordata; Mammalia; Diprotodontia; Vombatidae
Gene name: arginine and glutamate-rich protein 1
Exons: 3
Source: RefSeq, a predicted model, not a curated record